CAUGAACACGAAAUUGGCCGAAUAAGAUCAAUUCUUGAUGAUUUAAAAUUUGAAUGGAACUAAACAAAGUAAAGUUAAUCAAACCACACGAAAUACAUAUUCAAAAUGCUACAAAGUUGGUAAAAUAAAUACCAAUGAUACCCAAAAAUAUAGAGAAAGUAAAAGACUAGAUACACUAAGUUCUUUUGGAGGAAACCACUCCUAACGAUGUACGCCCCGAAAGUUGACGAUCCUAUAGUUGUUGACCCGAUACUAUGGGUCGAACUGAGUUUUGAAUGAAACUUCAACUCUCGAGUUUACAUGAAACAAAAAAUGAUAAGGAUUAGACAAACAAUUUAAGUUUCAAUAAAUGAAUGGAACAUGAAAUAUAGCAUGAGACAUAAACUUAAAAUAUAACACACAAUAGACGUUCAUUUUGCAGAAAGCAUGAACAAAUUGUUGUACAAGGACGAAUUGCACACACUACAAAUGUAUGGUCUAAUUUUUAGGCUACCAUAAUGGAUCUCUAUAGACAUCUCAAGUAACUAACUCAUUUUAUGCUUAAGUAAUUGCCAACUUUAAAAAAAUCCUAUAAAUUUAUGCUAGUUAUAUGUAAAAAAUAAGAAUAAAGCUAAGCUCAUAUAAAAAAACCAAUCAGCACUCCUUCACCAACAUGACUCCUUAAAACUUACCACCCAUGAAACUUACUAAUUCGUAUUAGUUAUGUACAACAUAUUUGACAUGAUAUUGAUGGCUACAGAGAAACAAAUAAUUCUAGCUUCUAAAAAUAAAAUGAAGAGCAGCUCUAGACCCAAAUAGAGAAACUUAAUAAUUGAGGAAAAUAGGAAUUCCAAAGAACAAAACAUGAUCAGGUAGAAAUAUGAAUCCAACACCAAUUUUAGAAGAGUCCUGACUACUGCUCUUAUUUAUAAAGCACAAGUCUAAGAAGUAUUAAAUUUUGAACUUGAAUAAGGAUAGUUAAUAUGCCCUUAAAACGCAAUCGACUGAAAGGAAAUCAUGUGACUCGGCUAAACCAACUCCUAAACGUCUUUUGGGUCAAUUAAUGGCAAAAUGUACUUUAAAGAAAUUUGAAACACAUGCAGCCCCAUAGUCACGAACAAAAUGAAACUAGUUGUUCACAUACUCUUUAAUUCAAGAAAAAUAACAAGAGACACCAACAAGGUGCUAAAUGGAACAUAGUUUGCCAUAUCUCUGCCAACUUAUAUCCACUAAUAAAUAACAAAAAAGAAAAUAGAAUCCUCAUAUUUGGCGUAUUUUAGAUACAAAGCAGACACAUACAUCGAAACCACAGAAAUUUAAAACGAUCUCAUAUUUGACUCGUAGGUAAUCAACAACAACACCAAAACGGGAUAAGUAAUGCACAUACAUACUCGCGGAAACAUGUUCAAGUUGGAGAAUUAAAGGAAUAAGGUGAUUUUCACAUUAUUCGACAUCAAAUUGUCUCAAAAUCAAAUGAGGAGGAAACCAAAUUCGAAAUCAUUUGUUUAGGAUACAAAAUACGUAAAGAAAAAAAAAGUAUGCAAAAGGAAGGAGACAAUAGCUCUCAUCUAAAAUGAAAGAAUCAAGAACAUGAUCUGGUAGUUCUAAUACAUCCUAAAACAAGAUAAAACACACAUACACCUAUUUGCAGACCCAUGUAUUCACAAGAGAAACAUUUUCUUUCAACAUCGAAGACUAUAUUUACCAG
RNAcentral lists this long non-coding RNA (1687 nucleotides) under Capsicum annuum. RNAcentral describes it as "long non-coding RNA (CANN_LNC017667)". The record is from RNAcentral. Lineage: Eukaryota; Viridiplantae; Streptophyta; Magnoliopsida; Solanales; Solanaceae.